RNAcentral lists this ribosomal RNA (313 nucleotides) under uncultured bacterium. Its description in RNAcentral is "bacterial SSU rRNA". It matches the Rfam family "Bacterial small subunit ribosomal RNA", at positions 28 to 334 of the family's 1533-position model. The record is from RNAcentral.
GACGAACGCUGGCGGCGUGCCUAACACAUGCAAGUCGAACGAGGGUUUGGAAAGCUUGCUUUCCGAAACCUAGUGGCGGACGGGUGAGUAACGCGUGAGUAACCUGCCUUUCAGAGGGGAAUAACGUUCUGAAAAGAACGCUAAUACCGCAUAACGUACAGUUACCGCAUGGUAGCAGUACCAAAGGAGCAAUCCGCUGAAAGAUGGACUCGCGUCCGAUUAGCUAGUUGGUGGGGUAAAGGCCUACCAAGGCGACGAUCGGUAGCCGGACUGAGAGGUUGAACGGCCACAUUGGGACUGAGACACGGCCCAG